Nicotiana tabacum (common tobacco) is the source of this 2896-nucleotide long non-coding RNA. RefSeq lists it as uncharacterized. NCBI's taxonomy places the organism in Eukaryota, Viridiplantae, Streptophyta, Magnoliopsida, Solanales, Solanaceae. The record is from RefSeq and is a predicted model, not a curated record.
UGGUACAAAUUCAACAUAGAUGGUGCUUUCAAUGGUAAUAAUUGCCAAGGUGGUAUAGGUGGAGUAGCAAGAAAUCACACAGAAAGCUGGAUACUAGGAUUUCACAUGAAAGUUCCGACCCUAUCAGCAACACAAGUGGAGCUCCAAACCUUGAGAGGAUGUUUGCAAAUUAUAAUGCAGCACAACUUAACGCCAGUGGAAAUAGAAACAGAUGCAUCAGAGGUUAUCAAUAUGUUAGACAAUGAUCACCCUACUUACAUGAACCUUAUCUUUGAAUACAGGUGGUUGAUGAAACAAACAAGGAGGAAGGGUCAAGAGGUACUCAGGCAUAGCUUCAGACAAGACAACGAGGUGGUGCAUGGCAUGGCAAAAAUGGUACUAAUGCAGACCAACAUAAAUAAAUUUUCAUUUUGGCAACUCCACUGAAACUAGCGAUACAACAAUAUCAAUAGAAUCUCGAUGAUUUUUCUUCUGUUAAAUAUGUUUGUGCUAGUGUUUGUUUGAAGUUGGCUGCUUUGGGAAACUUAAAAGUUCUUUCAUUUUUACCAAAAAAAUUGUCGUGCCUGUACAGAUUCGAGAAAAAAACACUCUUACGGCAGCUCUCCGUUCCAGCAAUGGCGAUGAGCACCAGUGCUGGAAAAAAAAUCCAGGCAAACGCUAAAAUUUCUUAUUUUCGUUUUCUCCAAAUAAUUGUCGAGAAAAAGCCAGACACAAUUAAGCCUAAAAAAACCUAGCACCAUAGGAACAAAAAGCAGUAGCAUCUACGCUCUCACCCUUGUAACGCCGCCACUGUUCCACCCUUUGACUACCAUUGGAAAGAACCCAUAAACCAACACCUUCUCAUCUAUAUCGGAUCUCCUCAACAACCACAGUCCAAAUCCUAGCAGCCUAGGAACAAAGAGCAGUAGCAAGCUAAGCUCACCUUCACCGUCUCUCGCCACCACUGUUCCACCCUUUGACCACCAUUGGAAAGUGUGGCUAUUUUAAUGACAAGUGUCUUAGCCUUCUAGAAGACUAUGCCAAGUGGCAAACUUGAUUAGCCACUUUCAUGCCAUGCAAUUUCAAGUAUAAAUAGUCAUCAUUUGGCUGCACGAUAAUACACCCAUCAGAAGUGUUUUUCUAUUUAACCUUCUUCCCUUUCUCUCUUAGCUUCUCUUACUUCCAAUUUUUCUUAUAAAUUUUCUUUGUCCUAUUCUCUUUUCAAUCUUGUUGGAUUAUUGUAAUAUAAAUAUUUUGCUGAUUCCUAUAUCCUCUAAAUAAAUCAGAGAUGAACUUGUUUAAUCCUGGAAAAACAUUUCAUAUUGCUGAAAUAGUUUCUUAGGACAGUGCCCAGCACGACUCAAGUCAAUCCGUGUAUCUUCUUACAAAUAAUAUUGAAGCAGUAUUAUUAUUGUUAUUUUUCGGUGUCAUUUUCCUACAAUCUAAGAAACUAUGGCAAGUAAUACUACUAUAGAAAUUUUUGAGUGUGCUACCAAUUUUGGUGUUAUCUCCGCUGCUACUGUUCCAACUGUCCUGCCAGAUAUCCAUGGUGUUGCAAAUAGGUUAUUGCAUCCACAACUUGGACAGACACUAAUGUCAAAACACAGUCCAUUUGUGAUUGGUAUAUUGUGAAGUAUACGAAGGCAGUACUGCAGCACCAUCAGGAGAAGGGUCCGUUUUGAUCGAGCCCUCAGGUUGAUUGUUCAUAUCGCGGUUGAGUUCUCAAAAUCAGAGGACCCGAGUAGCAAUAUAUGCGCAUUUAAUGCAUGAAAGAGGAUCAAUGGAGAGAUUUGAAGGUUGAUGGAAUAACUGCCAAGUUUGAAAGAAUUGGAACUUUCAUGGAGAGUCUUGUCUCUCCUAUGUUUAUCAAGGGAACCGAGGGUUACCAUAUUGCUUGAUGUAAUAUGCCGAGAUGAUGCUGUUCUCAGGAGUUAAUCUGGUUCUAUGAGAUAGAAAGUUAGUAGAACUGUGGACAUAGUCACAGAGGCUUGGAUCUCAAUAUAUUCUAGUUCCAAGGGGUUACUCCUGCAGUUUCUUUUCCUCUUUGUCCAAGAAACCUCGAGUUUAUUCGAUCCUUUCUUCUUGAUUUUUGUACUCUCUUUUCACCAGAAUUAACCGUGGUGCCCAACAUGCUAAAUGCGAAAAGGCACAGGUUUGAAGAUCCAGCUGAAAUCGAGCUCGAGCCCAAACCCUCAUAGCAAAAGUGGAUUAUGAAAUCUAGCAACUCCAGAUUGGAUGAGUGGGGUUUCAGGGAGUAAAAAUAACGAAAGAAGUCAUUUAUCUGGUAGUGACUUGGUGCUAAUCAAUCAAGAUCAUAAGAUGCAUAAAGUUAUCAGGGCUAAAUUUGUAUCUGGUUUGGGAGCACUAGCAUCAUUAAUUCAUAUGAAUGCUUGUUCCAGCUCUGUUUCACAAAGAAAGUUUUAAUCUUUCCUUCUAGUUACUAAAGCCAUGGAGAAAAAGUGCAAUGGAAUGCUAAUAGGAAGGUUGGUCUGGAGCUUCCAAGAGAAUCAUUGACAUAAUUUCUAAUGGUUUUGUUCAAGUUCUGCCAUGGAGUUCAAUUUUCUGCUCCUGAUUACCUUCUUGAUUGUCUCCAAACUAAUAUUCAAGACUAAGGCGUUUAUUGAUUUGCGAAUUGGUACUAGGAAGAUUGGAAGUACUAACUCCUUGUUCACAACAGUUUAGAGAGGAUCAACUCUUGAUUCUGGGGUUGACAACUUAAUAUCUCCAAGAAAGUAUAUAGUUUGGAGUAGUCGUCUGAAUACGCAUGUCUUCCCUGAAGUCGUGGUCAGUUUCAGAGCUUCGUCGAUGAAUUUCCAACUCUUUUAAAGAAUUAUAUUUAGCAAGGAUUUCCUUUGAUGCUUUGUUUCACCAGAUUAUCAAACAUCUUGCCUUCUCAUGCUAUCAAGUUGAUAAGAAA